Molecule: ribosomal RNA, 253 nt
Filed under: uncultured bacterium
Lineage: Bacteria
Description: partial 16S ribosomal RNA
Rfam family: Bacterial small subunit ribosomal RNA
Source: RNAcentral
UACGGAGGGUGCAAGCGUGAUCCGGAUUCACUGGGUUUAAAGGGUGCGUAGGUGGGUUGGUAAGUCCGUGGUGAAAUCUCCGAGCUUAACUCGGAAACUGCCGUGGAUACUAUCAAUCUUGAAUACUGUGGAGGUAAGCGGAAUAUGUCAUGUAGCGGUGAAAUGCUUAGAUAUGACAUAGAACACCGAUAGCGAAGGCAGCUUGCUACACAGUCAUUGACACUGAGGCACGAAAGCGUGGGGAGCAAACAGG